CAAUAAGCACUCCGCNUGGGGAGUACGACCGCAAGGUUGAAACUCAAAGGAAUUGACGGGGGCCCGCACAAGCGGUGGAGCAUGUGGUUUAAUUNGAAGCAACGCGAAGANCCUUACCAGNUCUUGACAUCCCGAUGNUNUUNUUAGAGAUAGGAAGUUACUUCGGUACAUCGGAGACAGGUGGUGCAUGGUUGUCGUCAGCUCGUGUNNUGAGAUGUUGGGUUAAGUCCCGCAACGAGCGCAACCCUUAUUGUUAGUUGCCAUCAUUAAGUUGGGCACUCUAGCGAGACUGCCGGUAAUAAACCGGAGGAAGGUGGGGAUGACGUCAAAUCAUCAUGCCCCUUAUGACCUGGGCUACACACGUGCUACAAUGGUCGGUACAACGAGUUGCGAGCCGGUGACGGCAAGCUGAUCUCUGAAAGCCGAUCUCAGUUCGGAUUGGAGGCUGCAACUCGCCUCCAUGAAGUCGGAAUCGCUAGUAAUCGCGGAUCAGCACGCCGCGGUGAAUACGUUCCCGGGCCUUGUACACACCGCCCGUCACACCACGAGAGUUUGUAACACCCGAAGUCGGUGAGGUAACC
Molecule: ribosomal RNA, 581 nt
Filed under: uncultured bacterium
Lineage: Bacteria
Description: bacterial SSU rRNA
Rfam family: Bacterial small subunit ribosomal RNA
Source: RNAcentral